AUCGAAAACAACCCAACUUCUUCCCUCUCUCACUUCACCGUUAUCACUCAUCCUUUUCAUUCUAUUACAAAGACAACAUACAAAAUCCUCUUCUUCUUCUAUACAAACUCAAGAGCAUAGAUCCCAAAACAUACCCAAACAUUACUCCUCUAUUUCUCAAUUUAAAUAAGACAAGGCAGUAA
This is a non-coding RNA of Vicia faba (fava bean), 182 nucleotides long. NCBI's taxonomy places the organism in Eukaryota, Viridiplantae, Streptophyta, Magnoliopsida, Fabales, Fabaceae. The record is from the annotation of a GenBank genome assembly.